GUGUGGUAGUUCUGGAAUCUUUCGCAAUGGUUAUAUGACCCAACUAUUAUUAUAAGAAGAGUUGACCAUGGAAAUUACAGCUACAAGUAAAAGCCCUUCUAAAUUUCCCAAGGAAGUGUUAACCCGUGCACCUCCCAAUAUAAACGGGUUCUUAAAUGCUCGAGUCGUUUACAUAAUAAAUAGCGAUGACAAUACCCACAUUAUAAUGUUGCACUCUAUUUUUAUACCCGACGUUUUGUAAUGCCUAAUACACCGGAAGUCAAUGUAUCACACCUCUCAAAGCCGGAGAGUCAGUCGGGAUUUCCGACUACGUACCGGUGAUCGGUUCCGUUAAACCGCUGACUUCCCGCAGACUCACCCUUCCUCUACGCCGGUGGAAAAUUGCUUCCCCACGACCAGUAAAACCGGCCACGUCCGCCAUUUUGCCGUUCUACCCAGAAGGCAAGGCAAAAGUACAGAUAUCAUCAAGAAACGGCAAAUUCCAAGGAAGAGAGAAGGAAGGAGACUUUGAAACCAUACGGAGGCAACGGCACAUGUAACACGUGAAAUCUUUCUCCAAUCCUCGCUAGACCGUGAAAAUUGGAGCUUUCACGUUCAGAGGAAAAAUACGUAAAUUCACUUCUGGGUGACUCUUUGAAUUUUCAACUGUGUUCUGCCGUUGCCCGUUGCCGUUGCAACAAAAACAACUAAAUGUUCAGCGACAUAUCACAUAGGUAUUUUAAAAAUUAGUCAUAUCCUUUUAUAAUACAAAUUCUCACGCGUCAGCUAUAUUCACACAUAUCCAGAUAUCGGCUUCCCAUUGUGUAGAAAGCACCUUCGCGGCAAAAUCAAAAGCGCUGGCCAAUCAACGCGCGCGCUGUUUUCGUUCAGCCAAUCAGCGCUCGAACUGUCACAAUGCUGGCUGAAGCGGGUGAUUUUGAGCUUGUGUUUUGAAAACAGAGCAAACAAGCCCGAACUUGGAAGUAGUCGGCGAGGCGAAGAAGUCAAUAAAAAUGCCUGCUACAAUUCAAACUACCCCCUCUCAGUUCAACAAAGAAACGGAACAUCUACAAAGAAUUGCCUGGGCACCAAAAAAGAAAAAGCCCUUCCAGCGAAGGAUUUCUGUUCUACGAGAAGACGCGAGAAUUCAUUCACAAUGUCGAAAGCGGUUGGACUUCUCUUCAAUUGAAGUCGAGGAAGAACCAACACAAGAGGACGGCGAGGACUUUGAGCCUUUGCCAGGAGUCCAGUUGACUGGGUUUCCUAGUGGAGCUUCUAGUAAUGUCGUCCCAAAUACUCCGAACCUGAAACCUUUGCAAAUAGGUGAAGUUCCCGCUAAAAGUCAAGAGUUGCUAUUCGAUGCAGCGCCGACGAAAAAAGCGGCUCCUUUGCCGACUCGUAACCCAAAAUUACCGGUGAAACGAAAGCUGACACUGAGCUCAUUCAGAUAAAUUUGUUAGUCUGUGGACAGACAAAUUGUCCUUCAUUCACAAUUUCUACGAACUGGCAAGUUCUUGAAAUCUUUGCAUCUUCAAAUCUUCCGAAUUAUUUACGCGAGCGGGUGGCUUCGUUCCUCUUCUUCAUAUCGCUGCUUCUCUUCAGAAAGCCCAUUCUUUAGGCCUAUUAAAGACUUAUAAUUGCUAUUAUCAAGCGAGUUUAAAGGUUUAAAUGUAUGGUUAAUUAUGUAUAAAGAACUACAUCUGGCAUGUAGUAAGGAUCUAAAUUCAUUCAAAAAAAAAAUAUUGCGAAAAUUAUUCUGUGCUUGGAAUGGACGCUGGAACGAAUGGAAUGCAACGGAUAGGCGAAUCUGCCGAUACAGUAAAAAAAAAGAAGCAAUGACAUUCUAUAAGUCACUCUAUUUUCUUAUUGAUGGAGAUGACGUUUUCCUGCUGAGUCAGUUAACGACAGUUCAGCAUUUAUUGUAUAAAAUAUUGCCUUGAAAUAUAAGAAUAUAUUCAAAAUAAAUGUGAUUAUGAA
Molecule: long non-coding RNA, 1956 nt
Organism: Nematostella vectensis (starlet sea anemone)
Lineage: Eukaryota; Metazoa; Cnidaria; Anthozoa; Actiniaria; Edwardsiidae
Exons: 2
Source: RefSeq, a predicted model, not a curated record